Long non-coding RNA from Odontomachus brunneus, 567 nucleotides. RefSeq lists it as uncharacterized. The record is from RefSeq and is a predicted model, not a curated record. The transcript has 2 exons. NCBI's taxonomy places the organism in Eukaryota, Metazoa, Arthropoda, Insecta, Hymenoptera, Formicidae.
UCUAUGUAUAUACGUAAGUGAGUUAGGCGACAAUUUCCCGAAAAGUGGAGGGGAUAAUGUUGGUACCAAGGAAAAUCUCUACACGAUAUAAUUUUAAUUUCUAUAGAUUAGUACCACUGUUUAAGUAGCAGGUUAGUUUAUGUAGCCUUUUUGACAAAUGUGCACGUGUAAAUAAAAAAUAUUGUACAAGUAUAAUAUAUCAAAAUGUAAAUGUAAAAUAUAUUGCAGUAUUUCAUUAAAAUAAAAAUAAGUAAAAAUGACAAAUAAGCGAAAACAUAAAGUACGCAGAACAUAAUAAGUGAGAAUAUAAAGUGAAGGAGUUUUCCAUAUACUCGCAGAAUGUUAAUAGCUGGAAAAAAAUUCUCUGCGGAGUAAGGUUGCCAAAUUCUGUGACUACUGUGUCCUCGAGUGCAUCCUAGUUGUAAGGAAAAGUUGAAAUGACAUUCUAACAUCAAAUAUCUAUCACUAGCAAUGCGAUGACAGAUAGAGAAGAGCAGGAUCAUAAAAUUGAUGUUUACUAUCAUUUUUCAGUGACACUUUCGACAAUAUACUUGAUGUUUAUUAUCA